GCGCCUGUAGCUCAGCUGGAUAGAGCAACGGCCUUCUAAGCCGUGGGUCGCAGGUUCGAGUCCUGCCGGGCGCGCCA
This 77-nucleotide transfer RNA is filed under the name Thiohalocapsa sp. PB-PSB1. RNAcentral's name for it is "uncultured Thiohalocapsa sp. PB-PSB1 tRNA-Arg". It matches the Rfam family "tRNA". Rfam says of the family: Transfer RNA (tRNA) molecules are approximately 80 nucleotides in length. Their secondary structure includes four short double-helical elements and three loops (D, anti-codon, and T loops). Further hydrogen bonds mediate the characteristic L-shaped molecular structure. tRNAs have two regions of fundamental functional importance: the anti-codon, which is responsible for specific mRNA codon recognition, and the 3' end, to which the tRNAs corresponding amino acid is attached (by aminoacyl-tRNA synthetases). tRNAs cope with the degeneracy of the genetic code in two manners: having more than one tRNA (with a specific anti-codon) for a particular amino acid; and 'wobble' base-pairing, i.e. permitting non-standard base-pairing at the 3rd anti-codon position. The record is from RNAcentral. RNAcentral also lists the same sequence under 1 other name. Lineage: Bacteria; Pseudomonadati; Pseudomonadota; Gammaproteobacteria; Chromatiales; Chromatiaceae.